This 468-nucleotide ribosomal RNA is filed under the name uncultured bacterium. RNAcentral's name for it is "partial 16S ribosomal RNA". It matches the Rfam family "Bacterial small subunit ribosomal RNA", at positions 28 to 507 of the family's 1533-position model. The record is from RNAcentral.
GACGAACGCUGGCGGCGUGCUUAACACAUGCAAGUCGAACGGAAAGGCCCUGCUUUUGUGGGGUGCUCGAGUGGCGAACGGGUGAGUAACACGUGAGUAACCUGCCCUUGACUUUGGGAUAACUUCAGGAAACUGGGGCUAAUACCGGAUAGGAGCUCCUGCUGCAUGGUGGGGGUUGGAAAGUUUCGGCGGUUGGGGAUGGACUCGCGGCUUAUCAGCUUGUUGGUGGGGUAGUGGCUUACCAAGGCUUUGACGGGUAGCCGGCCUGGGAGGGUGACCGGGCACAUUGGGACUGAGAGACGGACCAGACUCGUACGGGAGGCAGCAGUGGGGAAUAUUGCACAAUGGGCGGAAGCCUGAUGCAGCAACGCCGCGGGCGGGAUGACGGCCUUCGGGUUGUAAACCGCUUUCGCCUGUGACGAAGCGUGAGUGACGGUAAUGGGUAAAGAAGCACCGGCUAACUACGUG